Molecule: ribosomal RNA, 216 nt
Filed under: Glomeromycotina sp.
Lineage: Eukaryota; Fungi; Glomeromycota
Description: partial small subunit ribosomal RNA
Rfam family: Eukaryotic small subunit ribosomal RNA (bases 40-216)
Source: RNAcentral
GGGUCAGUAGGUUGGUCGUGCCACCGGUACGUACUGGUCUCACUGAUUCCUCCUUCCUGAAGAACCGUAAUGCCAUUAAUUUGGUGUUGCGGGGAAACAGGACUGUUACUUUGAAAAAAUUAGAGUGUUUAAAGCAAGCUAAGGCUUGAAUACAUUGGCAUGGAAUAAUGAAAUAGGACGAUCGAUCCUAUUUUGUUGGUUUCUAGGAUUGACGUA